GGGCGAAAGCCUGACGCAGCAACGCCGCGUGAGGGAUGAAGGCCUUCGGGUUAUAAACCUCUUUGUCAGGGACGAUGAUGACGGUACCUGGCGAAUAAGCCACGGCUAACUACGUGCCAGCAGCCGCGGUAAUACGUAGGUGGCAAGCGUUGUCCGGAUUUACUGGGCGUAAAGAGCGCGCAGGCGGUCGUUCAAGUCGCGUGUGAAAGCCCCCGGCUCAACUGGGGAGGGUCACGCGAUACUGAUCGACUCGAAGGCAGGAGAGGGUAGUGGAAUUCCCGGUGUAGUGGUGAAAUGCGUAGAUAUCGGGAGGAACACCAGUGGCGAAGGCGACUACCUGGCCUGUUCUUGACGCUGAGGCGCGAAAGCUAGGGGAGCAAACGGGAUUAGAUACCCCGGUAGUCCUAGCCGUAAACGAUGGACACUAGGUGUUGGUGGUAUCAACCCCGCCAGUGCCGAAGCUAACGCAUUAAGUGUCCCGCCUGGGGAGUACGGCCGCAAGGCUA
Molecule: ribosomal RNA, 506 nt
Filed under: uncultured Acidobacteriota bacterium
Lineage: Bacteria; Pseudomonadati; Acidobacteriota
Description: bacterial SSU rRNA
Rfam family: Bacterial small subunit ribosomal RNA
Source: RNAcentral